ACGCACGCUGGCGGCGUGCUUAACCCCUGCCAGUCGAACGGAAAGGCCCUGCUUGCCGGGUACUCGAGUGGCGAACGGGUGAGUAACACGUGGGUGAUCUGCCCUGCACUUCGGGAUAAGCCUGGGAAACUGGGUCUAAUACCGGAUAGGAGCCAUUUUUAGUGUGAUGGUUGGAAAGUUUUUUCGGUGUAGGAUGAGCUCGCGGCCUAUCAGCUUGUUGGUGGGGUAAUGGCCUACCAAGGCGGCGACGGGUAGCCGGCCUGAGAGGGUGGACGGCCACAUUGGGACUGAGAUACGGCCCAGACUCCUACGGGAGGCAGCAGUGGGGAAUAUUGCACAAUGGGCGCAAGCCUGAUGCAGCGACGCCGCGUGGGGGAUGACGGCCUUCGGGUUGUAAACUCCUUUCGCUAGGGACGAAGCUUUUUGUGACGGUACCUAGAUAAGAAGCACCGGCUAACUACGUG
This 464-nucleotide ribosomal RNA is filed under the name uncultured bacterium. RNAcentral's name for it is "partial 16S ribosomal RNA". It matches the Rfam family "Bacterial small subunit ribosomal RNA", at positions 29 to 507 of the family's 1533-position model. The record is from RNAcentral.